AGAGGUAUGGCUCAGUGGUAAAGCACUCACCUGGCAAGUGUAAAGCCCUUAGUUCAAAUCUCAGGACCACUA
Molecule: transfer RNA, 72 nt
Filed under: Dipodomys ordii (Ord's kangaroo rat)
Lineage: Eukaryota; Metazoa; Chordata; Mammalia; Rodentia; Heteromyidae
Rfam family: tRNA
About the family: Transfer RNA (tRNA) molecules are approximately 80 nucleotides in length. Their secondary structure includes four short double-helical elements and three loops (D, anti-codon, and T loops). Further hydrogen bonds mediate the characteristic L-shaped molecular structure. tRNAs have two regions of fundamental functional importance: the anti-codon, which is responsible for specific mRNA codon recognition, and the 3' end, to which the tRNAs corresponding amino acid is attached (by aminoacyl-tRNA synthetases). tRNAs cope with the degeneracy of the genetic code in two manners: having more than one tRNA (with a specific anti-codon) for a particular amino acid; and 'wobble' base-pairing, i.e. permitting non-standard base-pairing at the 3rd anti-codon position.
Source: Rfam by way of RNAcentral